Long non-coding RNA from Oncorhynchus tshawytscha (Chinook salmon), 3680 nucleotides. Lineage: Eukaryota; Metazoa; Chordata; Actinopteri; Salmoniformes; Salmonidae. The record is from Ensembl.
UUACAACACCUCAUCAACACUUGACAUAACAUCUUCUGUAAGCAUUACAGAGAUAUGGCUCUGAAUAUAUAUACAGUAACACCUCCCCAUAAGCAUUCCUGUCUCUUCUAUAGAUGUUAUAUCCUUUUAUUGCUAUAUCAUCAAAUUAAUUAUCUAAGUGAGUCUCAGAAAUGGCUAUUAUAUGAAUCUUCUCAUCUUAUUUGGGCUCCCAAGUGGCACAGCGGUCUAAGGCACUGCAUCUCAGUGCUAGAGGUAUCACUACAGACCGAUUCCAGGCUGUGAUUGGGAGUCCCAUAGGGUGGCAAACAAUUGGCCCAAGUCAUCCGGGUUAGGGUUUGGCCGGGGUAGGCAGUCAUUGUAAAUAAGAAUUUGUUCUUAACUGACUUGCCAAGUUAAAUAAAGUUUUUUUUUUUUUAAACAUCUGAUGUUAGCAAGUUAUUGACUUCAUGAACCUUAUUUCUAAGGUUACAUAUAUUAAUAUGGGCUGUUUUCAGUCCUGUCCUGGGUAGCUUAUCAGAAAUAGACCAUAUGGAAGCACCAACAAAGCCAGAUAAAAAUAAAAAUAAAUAACAUACAGUGCUGGUCAUUAUUUGUUAUAAAAUACCAAAAUAAACUAAAUCCUUAUCGAAACCCUAAAUCAUAAUACCGACAUUCCAAGUAAAAAUGAAUAUAUAUAUAUAUAUUUAUAUUGUUUAUUGAACAAAAGUAGUUUAACAGAAACUCAGAUUUGAUGUGCAAAAAUGUGACCUCCUUCAGUCAAUAGCUUGUGGCACCUCCAUUAGCAGUGAUAACUUGGAGUAAACAUCUCCUAUAGCCAGUAAUCAGUCUCAUGAUUUUUGCCCACUCUUCCUUACAGGUUUAAGGGGUGUCUGGCAUGAACUGCCCGCUUCAGGUCCUGCCACAGUAUCUCGAUUGGAUUUAGGUCAGGACUUUGGCUUGGCCAAUCCAAAAAAGGUCCAUUUUGGACUCGUCGGCCCAGAGACUUCCAGAAACCUUCAGGUUUGUCCAGGUGGUCUCUGGCAAACUUAAGAUGGGCAGUUUGGUUCUUUGAUAGCAGAGGCUUCUUCUUAGCAACCAUCCCAUGAAUGGCAUUUCAAUUCCGUGUUAUUCUUAUUGUCACCUGAGCUGCAACAAGGGAAGUCUGCAAAUCUAUAGAUGUUAUGUUUGGGUUGGUUUUUACCCUAUUUAUUAUUGUUCUUGUGGCUCUUGGGGAUAUUUUGGAAGGGCGUCCACUUCUAAGCCGAGUUGCUGACAUGUUAAAUGCUCUCCAUUUGUAAAUUAUUUACCUGACAGUGGACUGAUGAAGCUCAUAUCUUUUUGAGAUGAUUUUAUAGCCUUCCCCAGACUGAUGUCCUCUGAGAUCUCCUUUCCUCUCGGCAUGGUGUGCAUUGUAUUCACCUGGAUGGGUAACACCAAACUGACCAAGUUUCUUACCUCUAUCAGAGUCCCGCCCAAACGAUCUCUCCUUUGAUUGGUUCAUUUGGUAUCAAAUUAUUUACCCACCUGAUUCUACUUAACUACUUAAUUUAACCAAUGCAACUUGGGUUCACUUAUUUUUGCACCUGCACUAAUUCCUUUUUAUUUUUUUUUACUACAUGCAUGAUUCUCUACACCAACAUAUGGUAUUGGUAAAUAUACAGGGAAGCAAACUGGUGAGGGCCCACUGAAACAUGCGAAACAUCUCUGCUCUAAUUAAACAACAAAGAAUAUGAUCUACAUGAUCAGUCUCGGUGUGUAAAAUAAAAAAGUGGUUCAUAUGAACCCAACUCACAGCUAAAAAAAUGUAACGAAAGCAAUCCAAUGUUAUUUGUUGCCUAGACUUUACUGAAAAUGACAAGUCUUGAGAAAGAACAAUACACUAAUAUUGCAGUUAGCCAUGAAGGCUUUUAUAAUAGAAUGCUUGUGACCACACACCCUUAGGGAGGGGGGGGAGUAGAAAUACAAUGAAACAAACAGGCAUUCUAUUUUUGCUCUAUUAUAGAUAUCGAUCAAGUGCACAAGGCUACAUGUGCAAAAAUAACAUUCACUUAGUAAAACAUUUCAAUAAUCCCCCCCUCACUCUCAUGUUACUGUCAAGUUCAACACAACUAAAGCAAUAUCUUUGGCCUACACUGCACAUUUAUUACAUUGUAUACUUUCUGCCUGUGGACAUCUGUUCUACAAUGUGCCAGCAGAGCAUGAUACCCUUUGUUAGCAUAAUUGAUCUAUUUCAGGCAGAGAUUACACCUGGCAUACCCCAUUUUAUCCACGGUAUUAAAAAGACAGAGGUAAAGUUGGUUUUAAAUCCACACAUUCGCCAAAAGCCAUUUUAAAAUAGUAAAAAUCAAUAUGGUGGACAGCCCCAUCAAGAGGUAAGGACAGCCCCAUCAAGAGGAUCCACCUGGUGAUGUAUUUUGGGAGAGUGGUAAGCAGCCUGAAACUCCUGAAACCUAUAGCAGUAGCCAUUACACGGAUGAGGGAGACAAUGCCAUCCUGUCUGAUGUUCAGACUCUGCUUGCAGAUGUAAGAGAAUAAAUUCGUACUGCCCUGCCCACUUCACUGUUGCUCCAAGCAGAGGAAACUGCAGUUCUGAAAUACAUCAAAAAGACUUCUGCCUGAAGCUCAUACAUGCCGCAGCAUGCAUGUUGGAUGCCACGUAUGCUGGCAAGAAUAUCCUGUCUGGUGCAGAGAUCAACAAGGCCUAUGGUGUCAUCACUACCGUGUCUCGCCACUUUGGCCUGGAUGAGGGCAAGGUUCUUGGCAGUCUGGCAAAGUACACUUCCAAGCAAGGGCAUCGGGAUGCAGAUGCAAAAUGGCAGUGGUGCCAACAUAUCUCAUCAGCUACCUGGUGGAAGGGACUUUGUGGAUCUGAGGCUCUUUCCCCUGUUGCCUCCAUCCCCCUCCAAAUCCCACCAACAUCAGCUGCCUCAGAGCGCAACUGGUCCUUGUUUGGGAACACACACACCCAAGCACUCAGACUGACCAAUACAAGGGUUGAACAAUUGGUGGCCAGCCGGGCAAAUUUGAAGCUUUUUGAGCCUGACAUCAAGCCAUCCUUAACUAGGUUGGAAAGUGACAGUGAAGAUGAGGCCUUAGAGUCUGAUGUUCAAGAGCUGGAUAUUGAAGAGGUCCAGGGAGAAGACAUGGAACCCUGAGAGGAUGACAACCAAAGCUUUAGUUUCUAGACUAUCAUUUUACAGACGUAUGUUGAAAACAUUUUUGGGAGAUGUGAUCUUUUCUUUUGUUGUUCAGUGAAGUCAUCUCCUUUAAUUAAAGUAAAAUUUGUAACUAAAUGGUUGUUUUUUUCUAUUGGAAGGAUUUAAUCAUUUGCAAUUAUGUCUUCUUAUGGAAAGGUCAAAUGGUUUGUUUGUCUCCAUAUGAUAUGGUAAAUAUAUCCAAUGCAAAAAAACAUCCACAUUUAUUAUUAAUAUUAAUUAGCAUAUUUCCCAUAUAUUCCCAUGGAAAGUUUCCCAAAAUGUGCAGCUCUUACUUGAUUGAAACACCGGAUUGGCCUCUCAUACCACAAUGCUGUAUGUCUGUCAGCAUAAACUGCAGCACUAACUCACCUCUGUUCCCUGCUGGCCUGGGGUGUAAUCAUAAAUCCUAAACAUUUUGCAACGGAAAUCAUUUACUCAAAACGGAAUACGUUUUGCAACAAUACAAGACUUUAUGUUGAAUAAAUUCAAGUAUGUCCUUUCCCG